This 356-nucleotide small RNA is filed under the name Pongo abelii (Sumatran orangutan). Its description in RNAcentral is "processed transcript". Lineage: Eukaryota; Metazoa; Chordata; Mammalia; Primates; Hominidae. The record is from RNAcentral.
CAGCCCCAGCGGCGGGCGGUGGAGCCUGGAGAGGGGCCGCGCCCGGGGUCCGACGCGCUGCUUUCCUGGAUCCUGACGCUGGGCAGCUGGAGGAGCCAGUGGCAGGCGGCCUGGGUGACCGCCCUGAACGAAGAGGCCGAGAGGAAAGGGGUGCUCCAGGCCCUGGGCUCCGCGAGGGACAGGCUGGCGGUUGGAGGGACUGUCAGAAGUGCUCAUCCGCGCCAGCCAGUACCUGCCUUGCCUGGCGUCCCGGGGCGAAUUCCCGUGCCCAAUCGGACACUUACUGAGCUUGCACAUGAUACAUGAAUAGCCGUGACCCCAAUGUGCUUCCGCCUCUCAUAGAGCUGAAUUUCACC